Nannospalax galili (Upper Galilee mountains blind mole rat) is the source of this 103-nucleotide small nuclear RNA. NCBI's taxonomy places the organism in Eukaryota, Metazoa, Chordata, Mammalia, Rodentia, Spalacidae. The record is from Ensembl.
UUGCAGGCUUUGGUAGCACAUAUACUAAAAUUGGAAAGAUAUAAUAUUAGCAUGGUGUCUGUGUGAGGAUUACUUGCAAAUUUGUGAAGCAGUCCAUAUUUUU